This 85-nucleotide transfer RNA is filed under the name Pseudomonadota bacterium. RNAcentral describes it as "tRNA-Tyr". It matches the Rfam family "tRNA". From Rfam's summary of the family: Transfer RNA (tRNA) molecules are approximately 80 nucleotides in length. Lineage: Bacteria; Pseudomonadati; Pseudomonadota. RNAcentral also lists the same sequence under 2 other names. The record is from RNAcentral.
GGAGAGGUUCCCGAGUGGCUAAAGGGGGCAGACUGUAAAUCUGCUGGCUACGCCUACGUUGGUUCGAAUCCAACCCUCUCCACCA